AGGAAUGUAUAGCUAUAGCUAGUUGCAUCAUUGUAAAUAUGAUGCAAGAUUGACUAUGUUGAAUAAAAUUCUAGGUAGAGUUAUGAUAAUGACAUUUUCUGCCUAUGUGUCUUGACCAAAUUACGUGCCAGCAGUCGCGGUAAUACGUAAAAGACUAGUGUUAUUCAUGUUUUCGGUUUAAAGGGUACCUAGACGGCAGAUCAAGCUUACCUUGCAGAGAAAAAAAUAAAAUUAAAAAGGACUAAUUUGCUAGAGUUACUUACGAGGGGGUUAUAAAGUACUACUGGUGUAGAGAUGAAAUUCUGUCAUACCUCUUUUCGAAAGAAAAAAAAAGGCACAGGUAUAGGCGAAGGCAUCCCCUUAUGUGAUAACUGACGUUGAGGGACGAAGGCUUUAUCUAAUGAACAGGAUUAGGUACCCUAGUAGUGGAAGCAGAAAAUGAUGAAUGUCAUAGAUUAGAUUAGUUUAUUCUAUAAAUGAAAGUGUAAGCAUUCCACCUCAUGAGUAAUUUGGCAACAUUGGAAUUGAAAUCAUUAGACCGUUUCUGAAACCAGUAGUGAAGUAUGUUGUUUAAUUUGAUGAUCCGCAAAAAACCUUACCACAAUUUGAAUAUUUAUAUUAUAUUUAUAGUUUUUUUAUUAAUUUUCUUUAAGCAUUCCAGAAAAUUAAUAAAGAGGCUAUAAGAUAUAUUUACAAGCGUUGCACGGCUGUCUUCAGUUAAUGUCGUGAGAUUUUGGUUAGAUCCAUUAAAUUAANGUAAACCCGCACUGUAUUUUU
This 777-nucleotide ribosomal RNA is filed under the name Hypotrachyna laevigata. RNAcentral describes it as "partial small subunit ribosomal RNA". It matches the Rfam family "Bacterial small subunit ribosomal RNA", at positions 357 to 1118 of the family's 1533-position model. The record is from RNAcentral. Lineage: Eukaryota; Fungi; Ascomycota; Lecanoromycetes; Lecanorales; Parmeliaceae.